RNAcentral lists this long non-coding RNA (1098 nucleotides) under Monodelphis domestica (gray short-tailed opossum). RNAcentral's name for it is "lncRNA (ENSMODG00000045269.1)". The record is from RNAcentral. Lineage: Eukaryota; Metazoa; Chordata; Mammalia; Didelphimorphia; Didelphidae.
UUCUAUCACUUUCAAAAUCAUCCAGCUGGAAAAUGAGGCAAAGGAGAUGAAAGAUGAAGCAAAGGAGAUGAAAGACGAGAUAAAGAGGAUGAAAGACAAUCUUCAAAGAAACUCAGACCAGAAGGAAAAAGACGACCAAAAAGCCAAAGAUGAAAUCCAAUCUUUAAGAACCCGAGUAAAACAACUAGAAUCAAGUGACCUCACAAGGCAGCAGGACACUAUAAGACAAAACAAAAAGAAUGAAAAAUUGAGGGAAAUGUGAAGCAUCUCAUUCACAAAACAGACGAUUUAGAAAAUCGUUCAAGAAGAGACAAUUUAAGAAUAAUUGGACUACCAGAAGACCACGACAAAAGAAAAAGCCUGGACAUAAUACUAGAGGAAAUUAUCCAGGAAAACUGUCCCGAAAUCCUAGAACAAGAAGGGAAAGUGGAGAUUGAAAGAAUCCACAGAUCACCCCCUGUUUUUAAUCCCCAACUGACAACACCAAGAAAUGUUAUAGCCAAAUUCAAAAACAAUCAGAUAAAAGAACAGGUAUUACAAGCUGCCAAAAAGAAACCAUUCAGAUACCAUGGAAACAUGGUGAGGAUAACACAGGAUCUUUCUGCAUCCACACUGAAGGACCGAAAGGCAUGGAAUAUGAUAUUCCGGAAAGCAAGGGAACUAGGCCUACAGCCAAGAAUAAAAUACCCAUCAAAACUGACUAUAUUCUUACAGGGGAAAGUAUGGUCAUUUAACACAACAGAGGAAUUCCAAGCAUUCAUAAAUAAAAGACCAGACCUGAACAGAAAAUUUGAAGUCCAACCACAGAAUUCAAGAGAAUCAUCAAAAGGCACUAUGCUGAGAACUGGGAUAUCAAGCCAAUCCCUACCUGAAAGGACUUUACAUUCUCAUGGAGGAAGACAACCUUAUAGAGAAAACUGGAAUGGAGGAACACAUAGCCCCCAUCUCCCACAAUUCCUCGACCUUCAUACCAUAACAAGGUUUGGAAAUGGUGGCUCCAAAGUGAUGGAGAUGACCAGUUCUGGACAAGAUAGACAUUUCUCAGACCCCGGGGUGAUUGCAGGGAUGGAGUCUAAAGUUCUGGUGGGAUGCGGAUGA